This is a non-coding RNA of Aegilops tauschii subsp. strangulata, 1944 nucleotides long. Lineage: Eukaryota; Viridiplantae; Streptophyta; Magnoliopsida; Poales; Poaceae. The record is from RefSeq and is a predicted model, not a curated record.
CUUCUCUCUGACCACUUGGAGGAGACGACUCCGAGGUGAAGUGGAGCGGCUCAGCGAGCUCGAAGACGACCCGGAGGUGACCUUGCAGCGACCUCAGCGACUCGUCUCCGCCGGCCCUCUCCUCCCCUCAGCGGGUGAUUGGAGCGGAGCAGGGCGAGGGCAAGGAGGAGGGAGGGAGUGACGGAGAAGAGGGGGUGAGUGCUCCUGAACUUCUGUUUUCUUUUCCCGUGGCAUCGAUCCUGGUUCGAUUGGUUGGAAUGUUGCGAUGAUUUGUCGUCACGAACCAGGAUUUUGCUUGGCUUGUCUGGCUGGUUGGCUCCUGCUUGGCUUAGUUAUGAUUUCUCUGCCCUCUGUGUGGUGUAUACUGACUUAAGUUAGACUCUGCCCUGAUUUGGUUUCAUUCAGCCUUGUCCGAUCCACCAGUUCAGCUGCAGCCCUGCGGUAAACCAUUUUCUGGAUACUGGUUUCGGCACGUACCCGGCGUCAAACAACUCACAACAGCAAGCCAAUCCAUUUGGUUGGUGGUAGCCUUUUCUAUAGGCUGCACAGCUCAGGAGCUAAUAGUAUCCCGAGCGAGUCAAUUGCAAGAAACUACCACAUUUGCGGCUAGGUUUGCAGAAAACCACCAAGUCACUAAUCCGUUGCAAAAAACACCGUAAAAUCUCUAAUCUUAUUGCAAAAAGCACUCAUCGGGUGAUUUGGUCCCUUUGAUUGCUUUCUGACAACUGGGGCCCAAUUGUAAGGUGCUGACAUGGCAAAAAAUUAACAUACACAUCCCUGGAUCAAAAAUAAAAAAGCAAUCAGACCCCCCACCCAUCCCCCCCUCCCUUGCGCUCGUGACCCAUCUCACAUCUCCCCUGCGCGACUGACCUUCCUCCGGCGCCGACUCCGGCUCCGGCCACCUCACCUAACCCGUCGGCGCUGCCCUAACCUGCUAGGGCCUAGCCCUUCUUCCUGCUGUAAUCAACAUCGUCGUUGUCUCCUUCCUUGUCGGCGGCAGGGGCGGGGGCGGGCGCGGUGGCGGAGUGCAGGGACGAGACGGCGCCGGCGAGUGCGCGGAGGAGGGGGCCACAGCGGGGGAAAGGAGCAGGGACGCCUCGGUGGGCACGGGAGGGGACGCCACGAGGAGGAGGAGGAUGUCGUCAUGGAGCCCCGUCGCCCAGCCCCUGGUGGUGGUGCACCGCACGACGUCCCCAAUUGCUCUGAGCUGCUGCUUCGGGCACGGCGUCGAGCCGGGGAGGAGCGGUGUCGAGCUGCUGCCGCUGCUUGCACGGCGUCGAGCAGCCACGGGGCCGAGCACUCCCGCCGCCAUGGAGCUGAGGGUGCCGCUGCUGCCCUUCUCUACUGAGGAUGUCGCCGCGGCGGUUGCGUGCAGACGAAGCCAUCAUCUGGGCACGGCGGCUCAGGACAUCGACGGCGACAUCGUCAGGUUGGAGCAAGGCACGGCGGCGGUGACGGGAGCCGGCGGGAUCGAGAGCAGGGGGAUUGAGAGCAAGGGGGUUGAUUGCUUUUUAUUUUUAGAUCCAGGGGUGUGUAUGACAUUAGUUUGCCAAGUCAGCUCUUGACAGCCGGGCCUCACUUGUCAGAAAGCAAUCAAAGGGACCAAAUCACCCGAUCAGUGCUUUUUGCAAUAAGAUUAGAGAUUUUACGGUGUUUUUUGCAACGGAUUAGUGACUUGGUGGUUUUCUGCAAACCUAGCCGCAAAUGUGGUAGUUUCUUGCAAUUGACUCGUCCCGAGCAAAUGCGGUUUUGUGUGCGAUUGUGCCUGGCCAUUCCUCUAUGUCAGUCGUGUAAUGAUAUGUCUGUAUUCGCUUCGCCACACGGCUCUGUGGCGAUGUCUCUUUCACAUUUCUCUAAUGCUAUGAUGAUAUCUGAACUAUCCUGGCUAAGGUACUUGUUGAGUUAUGUAAACUUUUUCUUGAAGGAAGAGUUAUGUAAAUUUCA